RNAcentral lists this ribosomal RNA (253 nucleotides) under uncultured bacterium. RNAcentral's name for it is "partial 16S ribosomal RNA". It matches the Rfam family "Bacterial small subunit ribosomal RNA", at positions 524 to 776 of the family's 1533-position model. The record is from RNAcentral.
GACGAACCGAGCGAACGUUGUUCGGAAUCACUGGGCUUAAAGGGCGCGUAGGCGGGCUGUCAAGUCUGGGGUGAAAUCCCGCGGCUCAACCGUGGAACUGCCUCAGAUACUGACGGUCUCGAGGGAGGUAGGGGCGAGCGGAACUGAUGGUGGAGCGGUGAAAUGCGUUGAUAUCAUCAGGAACUCCGGUGGCGAAGGCGGCAUCCUGGACCAACACUGACGCUGAGGAGCGAAAGCCAGGGGAGCAAACGGG